Molecule: ribosomal RNA, 996 nt
Filed under: uncultured bacterium
Lineage: Bacteria
Also listed under: 1 other name
Description: bacterial SSU rRNA
Rfam family: Bacterial small subunit ribosomal RNA
Source: RNAcentral
GGGGAAUAUUGCACAAUGGGGGAAACCCUGAUGCAGCGACGCCGCGUGGAGGAAGAAGGUCUUCGGAUUGUAAACUCCUGUUGUUGGGGAAGAUAAUGACGGUACCCAACAAGGAAGUGACGGCUAACUACGUGCCAGCAGCCGCGGUAAAACGUAGGUCACAAGCGUUGUCCGGAAUUACUGGGUGUAAAGGGAGCGCAGGCGGGAAGACAAGUUGGAAGUGAAAUCUAUGGGCUCAACCCAUAAACUGCUUUCAAAACUGUUUUUCUUGAGUAGUGCAGAGGUAGGCGGAAUUCCCGGUGUAGCGGUGGAAUGCGUAGAUAUCGGGAGGAACACCAGUGGCGAAGGCGGCCUACUGGGCACCAACUGACGCUGAGGCUCGAAAGUGUGGGUAGCAAACAGGAUUAGAUACCCUGGUAGUCCACACCGUAAACGAUGAUUACUAGGUGUUGGAGGAUUGACCCCUUCAGUGCCGCAGUUAACACAAUAAGUAAUCCACCUGGGGAGUACGACCGCAAGGUUGAAACUCAAAGGAAUUGACGGGGGCCCGCACAAGCAGUGGAGUAUGUGGUUUAAUUCGACGCAACGCGAAGAACCUUACCAAGUCUUGACAUCCCGAUGACCGGCCCGUAACGGGGCCUUCUCUUCGGAGCAAGGAGACAGGUGGUGCAUGGUUGUCGUCAGCUCGUGUCGUGAGAUGUUGGGUUAAGUCCCGCAACGAGCGCAACCCUUAUGGUCAGUUACUACGCAAGAGGACUCUGGCCAGACUGCCGUUGACAAAACGGAGGAAGGUGGGGAUGACGUCAAAUCAUCAUGCCCUUUAUGAUCUGGGCUACACACGUACUACAAUGGCGUUAAACAAAGAGAAGCAAGACCGCGAGGUGGAGCAAAUCCCAAAAAUAACGUCUCAGUUCGGACUGCAGUCUGCAACUCGACUGCACGAAGCUGGAAUCGCUAGUAAUCGCGAAUCAGAAUGUCGCGGUGAAUACGUUCCCG